This is a long non-coding RNA of Brassica napus (rape), 608 nucleotides long. RefSeq lists it as uncharacterized. Lineage: Eukaryota; Viridiplantae; Streptophyta; Magnoliopsida; Brassicales; Brassicaceae. The transcript is spliced from 2 exons. The record is from RefSeq and is a predicted model, not a curated record.
UCCUUUGCCAUAUCAAGGAAGGCCUGGAGCUCCAAAGCCUUUCGGUAAUACAUCAUGCCUCGCACUGUUUUGGUCAGUAUUUGGCUUCUGUAAGAUGCCCACAGAAAAACCUCUUCUUCCAAGUCUUCUCACGGUGACAGUUUUCACCAUCUUCACCAUCAGCCCUGGGAAGCACAUACCCCUUCUUCUUCUCCGACGGCUUCUCAAACGAUCCAUAGAUCCUGCUCAAAGCCGACUUAGUCCACACCACAAAUCACAGCGAUUGCAGACACGAUCUUCGUCGGAGCGUCAAACACGAUCUUGGUCUGGCGGAGAAUCGGAGAAGACGAGAAAAACAAAAGAAAAGAAAAAAGAAAAAUAAAUGCGUUUCCUCUGGUUUGCUGACACGUGGGGUAAAAAAACCCUUUAGUAAUCGGUCCUCAAAACCCUUUCUUAAGGAUCGAUAACAGCCUUUUAAUUUUGUUUUGAUUUAAUUAAAUCCUACAAUAACUUAAAAAUCCCUCUUAAGAAACCCUAUAAUCAUGCUCUAAGACUCUUCAUUGAUGCUUUUUCUGCAAACCCUAAUAUCUAUCUUUUUCUGCAUUUUGGUCUCUCCAAAUCCCGGUUGU